GUAGGCAACAGUCUGUUUAUUCAAUGUAUUAGGUUUAUCCAUCGUUGAUUGACGUCUGGUGAGUACGGCAAAGUAUGGCUCUGCCUAACAAACUUUUAUCAUAAAGUUUGACCUCAAAUCAGGUAGGAUUACCCGCUGAACUUAAGCAUAUCAAUAAGCGGAGGAAAAGAAACCAACAGGGAUUGCCUUAGUAGCGGCGAGUGAAGCGGCAAGAGCUCAAAUUUGAAAUCUGGCAUCUUCGAUGUCCGAGUUGUAAUUUGAAGAAUUCGAUCUUGGAGUUGGCCCUUGUCUAUGUUCCUUGGAACAGGACGUCACAGAGGGUGAGAAUCCCGUGCGAUGGGGUGUCCAAUUCUAUGUAAGACGUUUUCGAAGAGUCGAGUUGUUUGGGAAUGCAGCUCAAAGUGGGUGGUAAAUUCCAUCUAAAGCUAAAUAUUGGCGAGAGACCGAUAGCGAACAAGUACUGUGAAGGAAAGAUGAAAAGAACUUUGAAAAGAGAGUGAAAAAGUACGUGAAAUUGUUGAAAGGGAAGGGUAUUCGAUCAGACUGGUAUUUAGUUAUCUUUGCUCCUUGUGGGUGAGGCUCUAACUUUUUACUGGGCCAACAUCAGUUUUGGUGGCGAGAUAAUGACAUUAGAAUGUAACUCCUUCUGGAGUAUUAUAGCUCUUGUUGAUAUCGCCUACCGGGACUGAGGUCUGCGGCUUUGCCUAGGAUGUUGGCGUAAUGAUCCAAUACCGCCCGUCUUGAAACAUGGACCAAGGAGUCUAACGUCUAUGCGAGUGUUUGGGUGUAAAACCCGUACGCGUAAUGAAAGUGAACGUAGGUGAGGGCCCUUUGGGGUGCAUCAUCGACCGAUCCUGAUGUCUUCGGAUGGAUUUGAG
RNAcentral lists this ribosomal RNA (878 nucleotides) under Wenyingozyma naganishii. RNAcentral describes it as "LSU rRNA". The stretch from base 109 to 878 matches the Rfam family "Eukaryotic large subunit ribosomal RNA", at positions 1 to 794 of the family's 3401-position model. The record is from RNAcentral. Lineage: Eukaryota; Fungi; Ascomycota; Pichiomycetes; Pichiales; Pichiaceae.